AUGCACGCUGGCGGCGUGCCUCAUCCCUGCAAGUCGCGCGAACGGACGAGAAGCUUGCUUCUCUGAUGUUAGCGGCGGACGGGUGAGUAACACGUGGAUAACCUACCUAUAAGACUGGGAUAACUUCGGGAAACCGGAGCUAAUACCGGAUAAUAUUUUGAACCGCAUGGUUCAAAAGUGAAAGACGGUCUUGCUGUCACUUAUAGAUGGAUCCGCGCUGCAUUAGCUAGUUGGUAAGGUAACGGCUUACCAAGGCAACGAUGCAUAGCCGACCUGAGAGGGUGAUCGGCCACACUGGAACUGAGACACGGUCCAGACUCCUACGGGAGGCAGCAGUAGGGAAUCUUCCGCAAUGGGCGAAAGCCUGACGGAGCAACGCCGCGUGAGUGAUGAAGGUCUUCGGAUCGUAAAACUCUGUUAUUAGGGAAGAACAUAUGUGUAAGUAACUGUGCACAUCUUGACGGUACCUAAUCAGAAAGCCACGGCUAACUACGUG
Molecule: ribosomal RNA, 496 nt
Filed under: uncultured bacterium
Lineage: Bacteria
Description: partial 16S ribosomal RNA
Rfam family: Bacterial small subunit ribosomal RNA
Source: RNAcentral